AAUGUGGUGGUUGGGGUGGGGGGGGGGGGGUCAGAAAAGGGGGACGGUCAGCGGGAAGAGCCAAGAGACUGCAACUCUACAAAGAGCACGCAGAUUAAUUCUAAUGAUUGUUCCCUGAGCUUUUCACACCAAAAUAAUGGUAACUGGCUAGUGUGUGCUCGUUACGCUCACUACUCCCACUCGAGAUCAUUCCUAUUAAUGACUCUGAGGCUUCACCUAACAGGCCACGGUGGAGGCAAGGAAAUGUGGCGUGGAGAACCCACUGGGCCUGGCUCUCCGUCCUAUGGUCUCCGUCCAUCGUUUUACAGUCAGGGUGUACAUUUGAUGAGGAAUCUCUAAAUGGGAUUUUGGGGAAUCAAAACGGAAUGGUGCAUAAGUGUGAAAAUUUACAAGACUGCGCAAAGCUGCAAGGCCCGGAGCCCCGUGCGGCCAGGCCGCAGAGCCGGCCCCUUCCGCUUUACGUCUGACGUCACGCCGCACGCCCCAGCGAGGGCGUGCGGAGUUUGGCUGCUCAGGGGUUAGCAGCUGAGCCUGCGCGAGUGCGCGGGAAGACGUUCCGCUUUGAAAUGCAGCGGGAUUUGGUGAGUUUCCCGCUGUCUCCGGCGGUGCGGGUGAAGCUGGUGUCUGCGGGGUUCCAGACGGCUGAGGAACUCCUAGAGGUGAAACCCUCCGAGCUUAGCAAAGAAGUUGGGAUAUCUAAAGCAGAAGCCUUAGAAACUCUGCAAAUUAUCAGAAGAGAAUGUCUCACAAAUAAACCAAGAUAUGCUGGUACAUCUGAGUCACGCAAGAAGUGUACAGCACUGGAACUUCUUGAGCAGGAGCAUACCCAGGGCUUCAUAAUCACCUUCUGUUCAGCACUAGAUGAUAUUCUUGGGGGUGGAGUGCCCUUAAUGAAAACAACAGAAAUUUGUGGUGCACCAGGUGUUGGAAAAACACAAUUAUGUAUGCAGUUGGCAGUAGAUGUGCAGAUACCAGAAUGUUUUGGAGGAGUGGCAGGUGAAGCAGUUUUUAUUGAUACAGAGGGAAGUUUUAUGGUUGAUAGAGUGGUAGACCUUGCUACUGCCUGCAUUGAGCACCUUCAGCUUAUAGCAGAAAAACACAAGGGAGAGGAACACCAAAAAGCUUUGGAGGAUUUCACUCUUGAUAAUAUUCUUUCUCAUAUUUAUUAUUUUCGCUGUCGUGACUACACAGAGUUACUGGCACAAGUUUAUCUUCUUCCAGAUUUCCUUUCAGAACACUCAAAGGUUCGACUAGUGAUAGUGGAUGGUAUUGCUUUUCCAUUUCGUCAUGACCUAGAUGACCUGUCUCUUCGUACUCGGUUAUUAAAUGGCCUAGCCCAGCAAAUGAUCAGCCUUGCAAAUAAUCACAGAUUAGCUGCUGGAGUGAAGUGGCACGCUCUUGGCUCACUGCAACCUCUGCCUGCCCCAGGUUCAAAUGAUUCUCCUGCCUCAGCCUCUGGAGUAGCUGGGAUUACAGGUAAUUUUAACCAAUCAGAUGACAACAAAGAUUGAUAGAAAUCAGGCCUUGCUUGUUCCUGCAUUAGGGGAAAGUUGGGGACAUGCUGCUACAAUACGGCUAAUCUUUCAUUGGGACCGAAAGCAAAGAGAUGGGGGUCUCACUAUGUUGCCCAGGAUGGCUUCAAACUCCUGGUCUCAAGUGAUCCUCAUGCCUUGCCCUCCUAAAGAGCUGGGAUUACAGACAUGAGCCACCAUGCCUGGGUGUAUCCUUUUAAAACAAUGUCUUCCUAGCUAUUUUUAUUGGGUGUAAUAUGAGUAAGUGUUUCUCAUUUGUAGUAUAAGAAAUUAUCAUAAUUCUUCAGCAAUAAUUAAAAAAACAUGAUUACUGCAGACAGUUUGGAAAAUAUAAGCAAGCAACCUUUACCUUGUGAUAACAGCUAUUAACUUCUUGAUUGUAGUCUUCUAUCAAUUCUUUUAGAUGUGCGUAUACAUACUUAUAAAUAUGGGAUAAUACAGUAUAACUAUUAUUUAGUAUAUUAUUAAUACUUUCCUAUCUCAUUGAAUAUUUUCUUCCACCUUUAGUUUUUAGCAUAAGUAAUAUCUCAUCAUAUGUAAAAUAAUUUAUUUGAAUCAGUCAUUGGACUUUUAGGUUGCUUUAAAAUUUCAUAUAAACUCUGUUAUAUACAUACGGGUAAUUUGAAGGGUGUAUUUUUAAUAUUUCUCUCCUUUUUGUGUUCUUAGAGAAAAAAUAGAAUUAUUAAUAUAAUAAACCUAUACAUUUAAAUAAUGAGUUUGGUCAUCUGAACUUUUAAUUAAUUAAGUUCAUGUGUUUGUAUGUAUUUAUUCUUUUUCUUUAAGCAGGUUGGCAACAUUGUACAAGUCACCCAGCCAGAAGGAAUGCACAGUACUGUUUCAAAUCAAACCUCAGGGAUUUAGAGAUACUGUUGUUACUUCUGCAUGUUCAUGGCAAACAGAAGGUUCCUUGAGCACCCGGAAACGGUCACGAGACCCAGAGGAAGAAUUAUAACCCAGAAACAAAUCUCAAAGUGUACAAAUUUAUUGAUGUUGUGAAAUCAAUGUGUACAAGUGGACUUGUUACUUUAAAGUAUAAAUAAACACACUAUGGCAUGAAUGAA
Pan troglodytes (chimpanzee) is the source of this 2593-nucleotide RNA transcript. It is a transcript of the gene named RAD51 paralog C, with no coding region annotated. The record is from RefSeq and is a predicted model, not a curated record. The transcript is spliced from 10 exons. Lineage: Eukaryota; Metazoa; Chordata; Mammalia; Primates; Hominidae.